UACGUAGGGUGCAAGCGUUAUCCGGAAUUAUUGGGCGUAAAGAGCUCGUAGGCGGUUUGUCGCGUCUGCUGUGAAAACCCGAGGCUCAACCUCGGGCCUGCAGUGGGUACGGGCAGACUAGAGUGCGGUAGGGGAGAUUGGAAUUCCUGGUGUAGCGGUGGAAUGCGCAGAUAUCAGGAGGAACACCAAUGGCGAAGGCAGAUCUCUGGGCCGUAACUGACGCUGAGGAGCGAAAGCAUGGGGAGCGAACAGG
RNAcentral lists this ribosomal RNA (253 nucleotides) under uncultured bacterium. Its description in RNAcentral is "partial 16S ribosomal RNA". It matches the Rfam family "Bacterial small subunit ribosomal RNA", at positions 524 to 776 of the family's 1533-position model. The record is from RNAcentral.